UACGUAGGGAGCAAGCGUUGUCCGGAAUCAUUGGGCGUAAAGCGCGCGUAGGUGGCCUCAUAAGUCCGCUGUGAAAGUCAAAGGCUCAACCUUUGAAAGCCGGUGGAUACUGUGGGGCUAGAGUACGGAAGAGGCGAGUGGAAUUCCUGGUGUAGCGGUGAAAUGCGCAGAUAUCAGGAAGAACACCCGUGGUGAAGGCGGCUCUCUGGGACGGUACUGACGCUGAGACGCGAAAGCGUGGGGAGCGAACAGG
RNAcentral lists this ribosomal RNA (253 nucleotides) under uncultured bacterium. RNAcentral's name for it is "partial 16S ribosomal RNA". It matches the Rfam family "Bacterial small subunit ribosomal RNA", at positions 524 to 776 of the family's 1533-position model. The record is from RNAcentral.